CCUACGGGAGGCUGCAGUGGGGAAUAUUGGACAAUGGGGGAAACCCUGAUCCAGCGACGCCGCGUGAAUGAUGAAGGCCUUAGGGUUGUAAAGUUCUUUCGUCCGUGAGGCAGUAGCGGAAGAAGAAGCUCCGGCUAACUUCGUGCCAGCAGCCGCGGUAAUACGAAGGGGGCUAGCGUUGCUCGGAAUUACUGGGCGUAAAGCGCACGUAGGCGGCGAUUCAAGUUAGAUGUGAAAGGCCUGGGCUCAACCCGGGAACUGCAUUUGAUACUGAAUUGCUAGAGUCCAAGAGAGGGUAGUGGAAUUCCCAGUGUAGAGGUGAAAUUCGUAGAUAUUGGGAAGAACACCAGUGGCGAAGGCGGCUACCUGGCUUGGACUGACGCUCAGGUGCGAAAGCGUGGGGAGCGAACAGGAUUAGAUACCCUUGUAGUC
Molecule: ribosomal RNA, 432 nt
Filed under: uncultured bacterium
Lineage: Bacteria
Description: partial 16S ribosomal RNA
Rfam family: Bacterial small subunit ribosomal RNA
Source: RNAcentral